UUCAACUGUUUGUCAUUCCGGCCA
RNAcentral lists this non-coding RNA (24 nucleotides) under Arabidopsis thaliana (thale cress). The record is from RNAcentral. Lineage: Eukaryota; Viridiplantae; Streptophyta; Magnoliopsida; Brassicales; Brassicaceae.